GGGGAAUAUUGGACAAUGGGCGCAAGCCUGAUCCAGCCAUACCGCGUGGGUGAAGAAGGCCUUCGGGUUGUAAAGCCCUUUUGUUGGGAAAGAAAUCCAGCUGGCUAAUACCCGGUUGGGAUGACGCUACCCAAAGAAUAAGCACCGGCUAACUUCGUGCCAGCAGCCGCGGUAAUACGAAGGGUGCAAGCGUUACUCGGAAUUACUGGGCGUAAAGCGUGCGUAGGUGGUCGUUUAAGUCCGUUGUGAAAGCCCUGGGCUCAACCUGGGAACUGCAUCCAUAACUGCCUGACUAGAGUACGGUAGAGGGUGGUGGAAUUCCCGGUGUAGCAGUGAAAUGCGUAGAGAUCGGGAGGAACAUCAGUGGCGAAGGCGACUGCCUGGGCCAACACUGACACUGAGGCACGAAAGCGUGGGGAGCAAACA
RNAcentral lists this ribosomal RNA (426 nucleotides) under uncultured Stenotrophomonas sp. RNAcentral's name for it is "bacterial SSU rRNA". It matches the Rfam family "Bacterial small subunit ribosomal RNA", at positions 356 to 774 of the family's 1533-position model. The record is from RNAcentral. Lineage: Bacteria; Pseudomonadati; Pseudomonadota; Gammaproteobacteria; Lysobacterales; Lysobacteraceae.